UACGUAGGGGGCGAGCGUUGUCCGGAAUUAUUGGGCGUAAAGCGUGCGCAGGCGGUCUCGUAAGCUGGGUGUGAAAGCCCCGGGCUUAACCUGGGAAUGGCAUUCAGGACUGCGAGGCUCGAGUGUGGCAGAGGGAGGUGGAAUUCCACGUGUAGCAGUGAAAUGCGUAGAGAUGUGGAGGAACACCGAUGGCGAAGGUAGCCUCCUGGGCCAGCACUGACGCUCAUGCACGAAAGCGUGGGGAGCAAACAGG
This 253-nucleotide ribosomal RNA is filed under the name uncultured bacterium. Its description in RNAcentral is "partial 16S ribosomal RNA". It matches the Rfam family "Bacterial small subunit ribosomal RNA", at positions 524 to 776 of the family's 1533-position model. The record is from RNAcentral.